Molecule: ribosomal RNA, 1478 nt
Filed under: uncultured bacterium
Lineage: Bacteria
Description: bacterial SSU rRNA
Rfam family: Bacterial small subunit ribosomal RNA
Source: RNAcentral
AGAGUUUGAUCCUGGCUCAGGAUGAACGCUAUCGGGAGGCCUAACACAUGCAAGCCGAGCGGUAGAUCUUCUUCGGAAGAUUGAGAGCGGCGUACGGGUGAGGAACACGUGUGCAACCUGCCUUUAUCUGGGAGAUAGCCCUCCGAAAGGGGGAUUAAUAUUCCAUAAUAUACUGAUUGGCAUCGAUUAGUAUUGAAAGCUCCGGCGGAUAGAGAUGGGCACGCGCAAGAUUAGAUAGUUGGUGAGGUAACGGCUCACCAAGUCAAUGAUCUUUAGGGGGCCUGAGAGGGUGAUCCCCCACACUGGUACUGAGACACGGACCAGACUCCUACGGGAGGCAGCAGUGAGGAAUAUUGGACAAUGGGUGCAAGCCUGAUCCAGCCAUCCCGCGUGAAGGAUUAAGGUCCUAUGGAUUGUAAACUUCUUUUAUACAGGGAUAAACCUCUCCUCGUGAGGAGAGCUGAAGGUACUGUAUGAAUAAGCACCGGCUAACUCCGUGCCAGCAGCCGCGGUAAUACGGAGGGUGCAAGCGUUAUCCGGAUUUAUUGGGUUUAAAGGGUCCGUAGGCGGACCGGUAAGUCAGUGGUGAAAGCCUACAGCUUAACUGUAGAACUGCCGUUGAUACUGUCGGUCUUGAGUGUGGUUGAGGUAGCUGGAAUGAGUAGUGUAGCGGUGAAAUGCAUAGAUAUUACUCAGAACACCAAUUGCGAAGGCAGGUUACCAAGUCACAACUGACGCUGAUGGACGAAAGCGUGGGGAGCGAACAGGAUUAGAUACCCUGGUAGUCCACGCUGUAAACGAUGCUAACUCGUUUUUGGGCUUUCGGGCUCAGAGACCAAGCGAAAGUGAUAAGUUAGCCACCUGGGGAGUACGUUCGCAAGAAUGAAACUCAAAGGAAUUGACGGGGGCCCGCACAAGCGGUGGAUUAUGUGGUUUAAUUCGAUGAUACGCGAGGAACCUUACCAAGACUUAAAUGGGAAUUGACAGAUUUAGAAAUAGAUCCUCCUUCGGGCAAUUUUCAAGGUGCUGCAUGGUUGUCGUCAGCUCGUGCCGUGAGGUGUUAGGUUAAGUCCUGCAACGAGCGCAACCCCUGUCACUAGUUGCUAACAUUCAGUUGAGGACUCUAGUGAGACUGCCUACGCAAGUAGAGAGGAAGGUGGGGAUGACGUCAAAUCAUCACGGCCCUUACGUCUUGGGCCACACACGUAAUACAAUGGCCGGUACAGAGGGCAGCUACACAGUGAUGUGAUGCGAAUCUCGAAAGCCGGUCUCAGUUCGGAUUGGAGUCUGCAACUCGACUCUAUGAAGCUGGAAUCGCUAGUAAUCGCGCAUCAGCCAUGGCGCGGUGAAUACGUUCCCGGGCCUUGUACACACCGCCCGUCAAGCCAUGGAAGCCGGGGGUACCUGAAGUCGGUGACCGUAAAAGGAGCUGCCUAGGGUAAAACUGGUGACUAGGGCUAAGUCGUAACAAGGUAACC